GGGGGACAAUAAAACGCCACUAUAAAAUGUGCAGUUUUGUCACAACAACACAAUGCCACAGAUGUCUCAAGUUUUGAGGGAGAAUGCAAUUGGCAUGUUGACUACAGGAAUGUCCACUAGAGCUGUUGGAUGUUAAUUUCUCUACCAUAAGCCGCCUCCAAAGUCGUUUUUGAGAAUUUGGAAGUAAGUACAACCGGCCUCACAACCGAAGACCACGUGCGCAUGGCGUUGUGUUGAUGAGCGGUUUGCUGAUGUGAACAGAGUGGCCCCAUGGUGGAGGUGGGGUUAUGGUAUGGGCCCCAUGGUGGAGGUGGGGUUAUGGUAUGGGCCCCAUGGUGGAGGUGGGGUUAUGGUUUGGGCCCCAUGGUGGAGGUGGGGUUAUGGUAUGGGCCCCAUGGUGGAGGUGGGGUUAUGGUAUGGGCCCCAUGGUGGAGGUGGGGUUAUGGUAUGGGCCCCAUGGUGGCGGUGGGGUUAUGG
This 477-nucleotide long non-coding RNA is filed under the name Salmo salar (Atlantic salmon). RNAcentral describes it as "lncRNA (ENSSSAG00000102662.1)". The record is from RNAcentral. Lineage: Eukaryota; Metazoa; Chordata; Actinopteri; Salmoniformes; Salmonidae.